This is a small nucleolar RNA of Setaria italica (foxtail millet), 102 nucleotides long. It matches the Rfam family "Small nucleolar RNA snR60/Z15/Z230/Z193/J17". From Rfam's summary of the family: The members of this family belong to the C/D class of snoRNAs which contain the C (UGAUGA) and D (CUGA) box motifs. Most of the members of the box C/D family function in directing site-specific 2'-O-methylation of substrate RNAs. The record is from Rfam. Lineage: Eukaryota; Viridiplantae; Streptophyta; Magnoliopsida; Poales; Poaceae.
UAAGGUCGGGUGAUGAGUACCAGUGCAUAGUUCAGAUGAUAUAACCCUCGUGGUUGUGAUUACUUUGAACAAAUAGUCUUUCGCUCCUAACUGACGACCUUA